GAACUCUGCCGGGCAAUAAACUUUCUUCUGCAUUAAGGAACAACAACGACAACUAAAUUUAGAAGUGGUGUAUUCUUGAAUUCUCACUCAGCGUCAAGUGGUGGGGUCUAGGGCUCGUUGUUGAUGCUUUGCCCAGGGCCUCUUGAUUCCAGGACGAUUCUCGUGGUUUAGAAAUUUAUCAACGCCAAUUAACUUGUCUCUUUUGUGAGGGCGAGGGAUUUUCUUUCAAAUCGAAGGGACAUUGAAACAGAUGAUGUGCUGUUUCGUUGAACGAAAUCGUCGAAGCCUGUGAGCAUUUCUCCCCGUUCCAUCUCGUCCUCAGCUGAUGUUUUAAUUGCUAGCAUGUAAGAUAGCUCCAUCCAGUAUUCAAAUUGUCAGAUACAUCAAUUGGUGUUUAAGUUAUUUGUAUCUUUGAUUAUACGAUCAACUUUGUUUCGUGUUAGAAUUGUUAACAUUUAUGAUUAGCUUCUGUCAAGGAAGAUGCAAUAUUGCUGAUGCAACCUGUUUUUAAUAGAUCACUCAUUCAUAGAAUGAUGCAAUACGAGAUCAAGUAUAAAAAUGUUGCUGGGUGUGAAACUUUACAGAGCAAAGCAUCCCAAUUCCAUGUUCUAGAAUUCUUCAACGAACAUACUUUGCUCUCAUAUUCUUUGACGAUCUUAUUCGAAAGAUGCGAAACAUCUUUUUCAAACAUUGUAAUUUUAAACUUCACACAAUGCAUCAUCAUCAUUUUAUACAAUAUAUUCGAAUACUUCAUACUCAGUGUCAAAAACAUUGACAAAAUGUUUCUAUGUCAGAGUUUAUUUGAUCUAAGUUAAUAUACAGUUUAUCAACAAAAAAUGCA
This 841-nucleotide long non-coding RNA is filed under the name Physcomitrium patens. RNAcentral describes it as "long non-coding RNA (PPAT_LNC008644)". Lineage: Eukaryota; Viridiplantae; Streptophyta; Bryopsida; Funariales; Funariaceae. The record is from RNAcentral.